UACAAUGCCAGAUGAUGCUUACAUGCACCACCUUUCAAUUGUAAAUGAUUUAUCAUUGCUGCAAGAUUGAAAGAAUUGAAACAACCAGGUUAAACUAAGAUUUGGAUGAAAAAAUAUUUGUUGCAACAGUGAUAGCAUGUCAAAUUUAUAACAAACCAAUAAAAACUUUUACAUUUCAUUGAUUGUCAUGUAUUUUAUCGAUUUCUGUGGAUAAUACCCCAUACUAUCUCUCUGUAUUUCACCUUUUCCUAACUGUUAAUUGAUUUGUUACAACAGUGACGUAGUAUCUAGGAGUGGCAAUCGGAUC
Molecule: long non-coding RNA, 307 nt
Filed under: Elaeis guineensis (African oil palm)
Lineage: Eukaryota; Viridiplantae; Streptophyta; Magnoliopsida; Arecales; Arecaceae
Description: long non-coding RNA (EGUI_LNC022869)
Source: RNAcentral